CCUACGGGUGGCAGCAGUGAGGAAUAUUGGUCAAUGGCCGGAAGGCUGAACCAGCCAUGCCGCGUGAAGGUCAGUGCCCUAUGGGCUUUAAACUUCUUUUGUGCGGGAGCAAUAAUGGUCACGUGUGGCCAGACGAGAGUACCGUACGAAUAAGCAUCGGCUAACUCCGUGCCAGCAGCCGCGGUCAAACGGGGGAUGCAAGCGUUAUCCGGAUUGAUUGGGGUUAAAGGGUGCGUAGGCCGUGGGGUAAGUCAGCGGUGAAAUGCCCCCGCUCAACGGGGUGAAGUGCCAUUGAUACUGGCUGGCUGGAGUGCGGAAGCGGGGGGAGGAAUGUGUGGUGUAGCGGUGAAAUGCAUAGAUAUCACGCAGAACACCGAUUGCGAAGGCAUCUCAC
This 394-nucleotide ribosomal RNA is filed under the name uncultured bacterium. Its description in RNAcentral is "partial 16S ribosomal RNA". It matches the Rfam family "Bacterial small subunit ribosomal RNA", at positions 338 to 729 of the family's 1533-position model. The record is from RNAcentral.